RNAcentral lists this ribosomal RNA (744 nucleotides) under uncultured bacterium. RNAcentral's name for it is "bacterial SSU rRNA". It matches the Rfam family "Bacterial small subunit ribosomal RNA", at positions 589 to 1333 of the family's 1533-position model. The record is from RNAcentral.
CUGCUGUGAAACCUUGGGGCUCAACCCUAAGCGUGCAGUGGAUACUGUCAAGCUAGAGGAUGGUAGAGGCCAGUGGAAUUCCCAGUGUAGCGGUGAAAUGCGCAGAUAUCAGGAGGAACACCGAUGGCGAAGGCAGGUUACUGGGCAGUUACUGACGCUGAGGAGCGAAAGCAUGGGUAGCGAACAGGAUUAGAUACCCUGGUAGUCCAUGCCGUAAACGGUGGGCGCUAGGUGUGAGGGUCUUUUCACGACUUUCGUGCCGUAGCUAACGCAUUAAGCGCCCCGCCUGGGGAGUACGGCCGCAAGGCUAAAACUCAAAGGAAUUGACGGGGGCCCGCACAAGCGGCGGAGCAUGUGGAUUAAUUCGAUGCAACGCGAAGAACCUUACCUGGGCUUGACAUACACCGGAUUGGGCUAGAGAUAGUCUUUCCCUUUGUGGCUGGUGUACAGGUGGUGCAUGGUUGUCGUCAGCUCGUGUCGUGAGAUGUUGGGUUAAGUCCCGCAACGAGCGCAACCCUUGUCUUAUGUUGCCAGCAUUUGGUUGGGGACUCAUGAGAGACUGCCGGGGUCAACUCGGAGGAAGGUGGGGAUGACGUCAAAUCAUCAUGCCCCUUAUGUCCAGGGCUUCACACAUGCUACAAUGGUCGGUACAACGCGCAGCGACACUGUGAGGUGGAGCGAAUCGCUGAAAGCCGGCCUUAGUUCGGAUUGGGGUCUGCAACUCGACCCCAUGAAGUCGGAGUC